ACAGCAGCUCACAAUGGAGGGGGCAAUUAACCAAAAAAAAAACCAAUAUCUUUUACACUAAAGGGAUACGGACAUUACAAUGUAACUGCUGUCUGUAGAAUACUCAGGGAACACAGCAGCUCACACUGGAGGGGGCAAUUAACCAAACCCCCCAAUAUCUUUUACACUAAAGGGAUACGGACAUUACAAUGUAACUGCUGUCUGUAGAAUACUCAGGGAACACAGCAGCUCACACUGGAGGGGGCAAUUAACCAAACCCCCCCCAAUAUCUUUUACACUAAAGGGAUACGGACAUUACAAUGUAACUGCUGUCUGUAGAAUACUCAGGGAACACAGCAGCUCACACUGGAGGGGGGCAAUUAACCAAACCCCCCCCCAAUAUCUUUUACACUAAAGGGAUA
Pelobates cultripes (western spadefoot toad) is the source of this 401-nucleotide non-coding RNA. Lineage: Eukaryota; Metazoa; Chordata; Amphibia; Anura; Pelobatidae. The record is from the annotation of a GenBank genome assembly.